ACAGGAUUCGAGGCGUCGUCCAGGGACCGGUGAGAGCGCCACUCUGUAGAUGUCUUUUCCAGAAGGGAUUCAUUUCAAACCCAAGGCAGCUAAUACUUCAGUGGCUCUGCAGACUCAUCUCCUGUUUGCCCAAGAACAAUGUAAUUUCCCCUCAAGACAGGCAGAUAGUUACAAGGUAAAUCAGUCUCCACGCAGGCACUCAUGCCUUGAACAUUAAUAUCCAGGCAACCUGAAGCCCAAGUAGCCCCAGUCAGUGCUACCACUGCUUCCUGGGCCACCUCCACCACAGCUGCUGACAACAGCACAGCUAAUUCUGCUGGCUGAAGGUGUUCUCUUGCUCCCCAGUACCCAGACAGCUUCUACCAUACUUUAGAGAAUCAGGGCUGGAGCAACAAAGCAGCUGGGAAAGAAAGGGACUUAAUUUCUUUGUGCUUUUUGUUUGUUUUAUUUUUCUUCCUUCCUUUCACAGAUAUUUCAGUGGAGGUGCUGAGUAAAAGUACCAUUUAAUGCACACUUAUCUAUGUGCCAUUUCUUCCUCAGCCCCUUUCUGGGGGAUUCUACAUGUAUGCAGCCCUGUGCUGGGGCAGAGAAGUGAAUUUGUUUACCUUCCUCAAAGGACUGAUGAAGUACCUUGGUGCUGGUCGUGCAGCCGAGCGUGAUGAGGAGCUGGAAGGAGCCAGCUGGCAGGACGUUAAUGGAGCACUGGUUUGUGCUCUGAAGACAGCUCUGAAGAGGCCAGAGGAACAUGGCACCAGAUCAAACCAGGGAUCCGUCUACUCGAGGAUCCCUCCUCUCACAGUACCCAGGGUGGUGGCCAUCCUUGUGCAUGAUCCUGGAGGUUGGUUUGACCUCCAAGCUCUCCUCUCCUCUUGGGUGCUGGCAGCUGAGCUUGCUGUGACAGCAGAUGCAGAGGCAGUGGUUAGUGCUGCAGCCAGGCUCGGCUUUCCUUGUCUAAAGAUGUUGCUGUAG
Molecule: long non-coding RNA, 969 nt
Filed under: Cairina moschata (Muscovy duck)
Lineage: Eukaryota; Metazoa; Chordata; Aves; Anseriformes; Anatidae
Description: domestica (muscovy Duck (domestic type)) lncRNA (ENSCMMG00000007863.1)
Source: RNAcentral